Long non-coding RNA from Rosa rugosa (rugosa rose), 2155 nucleotides. RefSeq lists it as uncharacterized. NCBI's taxonomy places the organism in Eukaryota, Viridiplantae, Streptophyta, Magnoliopsida, Rosales, Rosaceae. The record is from RefSeq and is a predicted model, not a curated record. The transcript has 6 exons.
GGAAAGUGAUAGUUCGUGCUCUUGAAGAAAAUGCUAGAGCUUCCUACAAUUUGGACACUCUUUGAACUACAGAGCCGUUUGAGAAAGAACCAAUUCAGUCAUGCUAUGAAGUAGCUACACAUGUUGCUGUCAUGAAUUUGUUAUUUGAUGAUGCUGAUGAAAAAAGUUUAUGCAUUGAUGAAAGCCAUGGAGCGGAGUCUAUGAAAAUAAAGAAAGAAAGAAGCCGUAGCUAAAGAUAGAGAAGCUGCAGCAGCUAAGGUGGAUGCUAACAAAAAGAACAGAAUUAUAAACUCAUCUAAGAGGUUGUAAUUACUUUUCAACAGCCUCAAUACCAUUCUUUCCUUUUGUAUUUUGCUUCUGUUGCAGCAUCCCUUUCAAACAUUAAAAAUUUCAAAUCUGAUCACCUGAAUAUAUGAUUGAUUUUAUGAUUUACUUCUAAUUGCUGGGGGUAACAAAAGCAUCUUGAAUGUUUGCUUACACGAGAUUUAUUGAAGAUCAUGUGGAGAUUUAGUCUUUAUGAGCAAUGUGUUCUAUUUUUUAUAUUAAGAACAAUCCAACUGCUGUAUACCACUACAGCUAAAUUAAUCAACUACAAAACCCGCAGCAGUUAUUUUUUCUCUUUCGGCUCUCUUCUCCCCCUUCAGAAAGUGAUAGCCACGGAUUGCGACAGAGAGAGAGAGAGGUAUUCUGUGUCUUCUGGGUCCCUUCACUAUUCUGCGAGAGAGAGAACGAGGGAGUGAAGGCUGAUCCGAGAGAGAGGAAGAACAGGGAACGGGAAGAGGAAGAAGAAUUUGAUACACCAAGUUGAGAAGAAGAUCAUCUUCUUCAAAUUUGCAGGUAUGACAAAUCAAAAUGAUAGUUGGGCCGACAGCAAAGGGAUCUUCAUUUUAAGAGGCUUCCAACAAAGCUUUUGCUGAUGCAUAUGCGGUGACGGCAGUUAGCCAAGAAGUUGUUCAUCCGGAAAGUUCCAAUUAAAAGAAGCAGAGUUCAAAGCUCCGUCUAUCUAAGCUUCUAUAUAUAUAAAUGAAAGAGAGGGGAGGAUUUACUAUUGUUCAUCAGGCUGUUGGCACUAACAGAACUGAGCCAAAUCCUAAAGGUGAAAAACCCAUAAGCAUUGAUAUAGAGAACAUCUGAGAAAUAUAUGAGCUGAAGACACAAAUGCAACUUCUAAAAGUUCCUCACAAGAUGACCAGACAAAGAGGGACUCAGAUUACUCUUCAAAUGAGAAUUGGCGCCAUGAUGAGCCAUUAUCUGUAUCUGCCAUCCUAUUACCAAUUAAUCAUUUUGAAUUGGUAAGCCUAUAGAAGACAGAAAUGUGCCUGCGUUUAUCCAGUUGAUGAUUUUGUACUGAAUUAUUAUGGGAUUACCUGGACAGGAGAUUGUUGAUUGCUAUGUAUAAGCAGGGUUUAAUUUUAUGUGUUGGAUAUUUAUCUACAAUUUACAUAAUAUAUGCAGUUCAUACUCUGUUCUGUAAAUUACUCCCUCCUGGAAAUUUCAUUUGGGUGUUGACUAAUUCACUAUAGAAACAAAGAGUAGCCUUUUUACAGUUAUUAAAUUUUGAUAACAAGAUUCAACCAUUUAUCCUGUAGUGACUGAUCAAGCAUUUAUAAUUUAUAUCAAAUAUAAUAGCAACAUGAUCAAACUAUCGUGCUAGCAAUUUGUCCUAACUAAAUACCACAUGUCUCAAUAAUAGAGCUCCUGCAACUUCUAGGUGUCUGUUCCUUUAAUUACGCUGUUUUACUCACAAAAUUUGUAUCAGCAUUCCUAUUUACUUUUAAUAAAUUAGUCUCCAGCAUAAUGGUGUGAGCAUGUAUAAAAAAAAUGAUCUUUGGUAUCUCUGUUAUGCUCAACAAGUCACCACUAAAAUCUUUGCCAGCCUAAAGCACUCUGAUACAAUCAUAAACAUGCCAGAGGAAAAUCCUGCUGAAAAUAAUAUGGUGACUAAAUCCCUUCCUAUAUUUGAUUUGAUUUUGUAGUUUUUUUUUUUCAUUUUCUUUAUGUUAUUUGUUGCUGGGAUGUCAUUAUUUCCAGUUUCUGUCGAUCAUCAUUGGGAUUUGUUUGUAGUCUUGAAAGUUUUCGUGCUUUUGAGGCUGAAAUUGUUACCUUUUUAAUGUUUUGGUGUCAUGAUCUUCUGAUUUCAUUCCUUGGCCCUUUC